AGAGUUUGAUCCUGGCUCAGAUUGAACGCUGGCGGAAUGCUUUACACAUGCAAGUCGAACGGCGGCACGGGAGCUUGCUCCUGGUGGCGAGUGGCGAACGGGUGAGUAAUGCGUCGGAACGUACCGAGUAAUGGGGGAUAACGCAGCGAAAGCUGUGCUAAUACCGCAUACGCCCUGAGGGGGAAAGUGGGGGAUCGCAAGACCUCACGUUAUUCGAGCGGCCGACGUCUGAUUAGCUAGUUGGUGGGGUAAUGGCCUACCAAGGCGACGAUCAGUAGCGGGUCUGAGAGGAUGAUCCGCCACACUGGAACUGAGACACGGUCCAGACUCCUACGGGAGGCAGCAGUGGGGAAUUUUGGACAAUGGGGGCAACCCUGAUCCAGCCAUUCCGCGUGAGUGAAGAAGGCCUUCGGGUUGUAAAGCUCUUUCAGCUGGAACGAAACGGUACGCUCUAACAUAGCGUGCUAAUGACGGUACCGGCAGAAGAAGCACCGGCUAACUACGUGCCAGCAGCCGCGGUAAUACGUAGG
Molecule: ribosomal RNA, 530 nt
Filed under: uncultured bacterium
Lineage: Bacteria
Description: bacterial SSU rRNA
Rfam family: Bacterial small subunit ribosomal RNA
Source: RNAcentral